RNAcentral lists this ribosomal RNA (253 nucleotides) under uncultured bacterium. RNAcentral describes it as "partial 16S ribosomal RNA". It matches the Rfam family "Bacterial small subunit ribosomal RNA", at positions 524 to 776 of the family's 1533-position model. The record is from RNAcentral.
UACGGGGGGGGCAAGCGUUGUUCGGAAUUACUGGGCGUAAAGGGCUCGUAGGCGGCCAACUAAGUCAGACGUGAAAUCCCUCGGCUUAACCGGGGAACUGCGUCUGAUACUGGAUGGCUUGAGUUCGGGAGAGGGAUGCGGAAUUCCAGGUGUAGCGGUGAAAUGCGCAGAUAUCAGGAGGAACACCAGCGGCGAAGGCGGCGCUCUGGGCCGGAACUGACGCUGAGGAGCGAAAGCGUGGGGAGCAAACAGG